RNAcentral lists this ribosomal RNA (460 nucleotides) under uncultured bacterium. RNAcentral describes it as "partial 16S ribosomal RNA". It matches the Rfam family "Bacterial small subunit ribosomal RNA", at positions 338 to 795 of the family's 1533-position model. The record is from RNAcentral.
CCUACGGGAGGCAGCAGUGAGGAAUAUUGGUCAAUGGACGAGAGUCUGAACCAGCCAAGUAGCGUGAAGGAUGACUGCCCUAUGGGUUGUAAACUUCUUUUAUAUGGGAAUAAAACGUUCCACGUGUGGGAUUUUGUAUGUACCAUAUGAAUAAGGAUCGGCUAACUCCGUGCCAGCAGCCGCGGUAAUACGGAGGAUCCGAGCGUUAUCCGGAUUUAUUGGGUUUAAAGGGAGCGUAGGUGGAUUGUUAAGUCAGUUGUGAAAGUUUGCGGCUCAACCGUAAAAUUGCAGUUGAAACUGGCAGUCUUGAGUACAGUAGAGGUGGGCGGAAUUCGUGGUGUAGCGGUGAAAUGCUUAGAUAUCACGAAGAACUCCGAUUGCGAAGGCAGUUCACUGGACUGCAACUGACACUGAGGCUCGAAAGUGUGGGUAUCAAACAGGAUUAGAUACCCCGGUAAUC